CAGGCCUAACACAUGCAAGUCGAACGGUACCACAGAUAGCUUGCUCUCGGGUGACGAGUGGCGGACGGGUGAGUACUGUCUGGGAAACUGCCUGACGGAGGGGGAUAACUAGUGGAAACGGUGGCUAAUACCGCAUAUCGUCGCGAGACCAAAGAGGGGGACCUUCUCGCCUCUCGCCAUCACAUGUGCCCACAUGGGAUUAUCUCCUAGGUGGGGUAGCGGCUCACCUACGCGACCAUCCCUAGGUGGGCUGAGAGGAUGACCCCCCACCCUGGAACUGAGAGACGGUCCACACUCCUACUGGAGGCACCAGUGGGGAAUCUUGCCCAAUGGGCGAAAGCCUGACGCAUCCAUGCCGCAUGGAUGAUGACCGUCUCACGAUCCGCCACCCCUUGCAGCGGGGACGAUAAUGACCGUACCCGCAUACGCCGCCCCGGCUAACUUCGUGCCAGCCGCCGCGGUAAU
This 465-nucleotide ribosomal RNA is filed under the name uncultured bacterium. RNAcentral's name for it is "bacterial SSU rRNA". It matches the Rfam family "Bacterial small subunit ribosomal RNA", at positions 43 to 524 of the family's 1533-position model. The record is from RNAcentral.